This 253-nucleotide ribosomal RNA is filed under the name uncultured bacterium. RNAcentral's name for it is "partial 16S ribosomal RNA". It matches the Rfam family "Bacterial small subunit ribosomal RNA", at positions 524 to 776 of the family's 1533-position model. The record is from RNAcentral.
UACGUAGGGUGCAAGCGUUGUCCGGAAUUAUUGGGCGUAAAGAGCUCGUAGGCGGUCUGUCGCGUCGGAUGUGAAAACCCAGGGCUCAACCCUGGGCCUGCAUUCGAUACGGGCAGACUAGAGUUCGGUAGGGGAGACUGGAAUUCCUGGUGUAGCGGUGAAAUGCGCAGAUAUCAGGAGGAACACCGGUGGCGAAGGCGGGUCUCUGGGCCGAAACUGAUGCUGAGGAGCGAAAGCGUGGGGAGCAAACAGG